This 264-nucleotide ribosomal RNA is filed under the name uncultured archaeon. RNAcentral describes it as "partial 16S ribosomal RNA". It matches the Rfam family "Archaeal small subunit ribosomal RNA", at positions 717 to 982 of the family's 1478-position model. The record is from RNAcentral.
ACACGACUACAUUAGAUACCCCUGUAGUCCAGGGUGUAAACGCUGCAGACUUGGUGUUGGAAGUCCUUUGGGGGCAUUCAGUGCCGGAGAGAAGUUGUUAAGUCUGCUACUUGGGGAGUACGUCCGCAAGGAUGAAACUUAAAGGAAUUGGCGGGGGAGCACCGCAACGGGAGGAGCGUGCGGUUUAAUUGGAUUCAACACCGUAAACUCACCAGGGAAGACUGUUACAUGAAAGCCGAGAUGAAGACUCUGCUAGAUUUUCAG